AUGACCGAAAAGUGUUUCGGAGGUCCCGACAAGUGUUGCAGGGCCUCAUGGGCCAAAGGGGAAGGGGAAAACCAGCCCACUAAGGGGUGGUGCGCCCCCCACACCCUUUCCCACGUUAGUUGGGGAGGUCCAUAUGGGACAAUUACUACGUCUGUGCCGAGACCAAAACGCUGGCUACCUCCGGUCCAAGGAUGUGCCAAAGUUAAUGUGGAUGCAGCGCUGUCGAGAGGAGGUACGUAUGGUGCGGUUGCAGCUAUGUGUAGGGACCAACAUGGCCUGUUUCUUGGAGCCUCGGUCAUUGGUUUCCGGCAAAUCAAUGAUCCUCAAACACUAGAAUCCCUAGCCAUCAGGGAAGCACUAGCUUUGGCGAAAGACUUAUACGUUCAAAGUAUUCAUGUGGGCUCUGAUUGCAAAACGGUGGUAGAAGAUAUACAGAGCGGUACUUCAGCUUCAUAUGGUGUGGUGAUACAUGAAAUCAUAGAACAUUCUGCUAGUUUUCAUCUUUGUAAAAUAGUUCAUGAAUUUAGGAGCUCAAACUUUGAGGCUCACAACUUAGCGAAGCAUGCUUUAUCUCUCGGGGGUGGCCGCCAUGUAUGGUUAGGUCAUCCUGGAGAUCUUUCUUUCAUCCCUGUAAACAUUGUGACGGAUUAA
This 651-nucleotide ribosomal RNA is filed under the name Triticum aestivum (bread wheat). RNAcentral's name for it is "partial small subunit ribosomal RNA". The record is from RNAcentral. Lineage: Eukaryota; Viridiplantae; Streptophyta; Magnoliopsida; Poales; Poaceae.